AAAAAAUAAAUAAAAUAUAACAGAAAUUUUUUGGACUUGGGCCCUCUCUCAUUUGAGCCCACAGGUCCACAAAAAUCAGGUUAUAAAUUCAGAGUUUCAGUGAAACAAAAGGCAAUUCUAUUCCUAUUACCCUGGCAGGAAAAAAGAUAAUGAGAGAAGAGCUAACAGAGUUCAGAGCAACCGCCAGAGACUGAAAGGAACUCAUCUGCAAAGAGCCAAUUUCAUCUCAUAUAAACCCUCAGAUUGCUUUGCAAACCCAACCGGGCAAUUCAAU
Molecule: long non-coding RNA, 274 nt
Filed under: Lathyrus oleraceus (garden pea)
Lineage: Eukaryota; Viridiplantae; Streptophyta; Magnoliopsida; Fabales; Fabaceae
Description: Pisum sativum (pea) long non-coding RNA (PSAT_LNC041596)
Source: RNAcentral